Molecule: ribosomal RNA, 396 nt
Filed under: uncultured eukaryote
Lineage: Eukaryota
Description: bacterial SSU rRNA
Rfam family: Eukaryotic small subunit ribosomal RNA
Source: RNAcentral
ACGAGACCUCAGCCUGCUAAAUAGACAGCGUAUCUUCGAAUGCGACUGACUUCUUAGAGGGACAUUUCGGGUUUACCGGAAGGAAGUUUGAGGCAAUAACAGGUCUGUGAUGCCCUUAGAUGUUCUGGGCCGCACGCGCGCUACAAUGGCAGAAUCAGCGAGUUUACCUUUGCCGACAGGCAUGGGAAAUCUUUUCAGUUUCUGCCGUGAUGGGGAUAGACCCUUGUAAUUGUUGGUCUCCAACGAGGAAUUCCUAGUAAACGCAAGUCAUUAACUUGCAUUGAUUACGUCCCUGCCCUUUGUACACACCGCCCGUCGCACCUACCGAUUGAAUGGUCCGGUGAAGUCUUCGGACCAUGGCAUGCCCUGAGCAAGCCGUGGAAAGUUGAGUAAACC